AUCCGAGCCAAGAAACCUGGGAAGCAAAAUCAACAGACCUCCCAGACGCUUUUUCUGAGAUAUACAUUCUUGGAGAAAGGUGAUAUUGAGUUCAGAAAGAGGAAUGAUGAGAACGGAGCGAGACGAAGAUUUAGAGCUGGUAAUUCCCCCAAUUUUCGAGAACUGUUCAAGAAUUCUUGACGCAAAGGAUCAAAUUACAGCAAGAGAUUUGUACUGGGAAGGAGUUUGUGAAAAGUCCGAAAGAACUGAAGAGUUAUUGUUGAGAUGUGUGGAGAAGAAUCCGUUUGUUGGGGAGCCGCAUGUGGCAUUGGGGCAGCUGUAUUUGGGUGAAGGGCGGUUUGAAGAAGCUGAAAAGGAGGCUGAGGAAGGGGUGAGGCUGUUGCUGAUAUGGGGCAGUGCUUGGGACAAGAGGAUGCCAUGGGAGGGCUGGAUUGCUUGGGGGAGAGUGCUGUUGAUGAAGGCUAAAGAGAAGACAUGGCCCAACACAUCAUGGGGAAUCCUCAACUUGGGGCUUGUAAGGUAGACAAAGUAAGUGAAUCUUCUCUCUUUUUUCUCUUUAAAUUUGAGUUGUGUUCAUAAAUGGGUUUUUGUGCACUACCAUUUGUUUGCAUUUCAUGUGAUUAUAAAUAAAACUUAGGUGUAUCAG
RNAcentral lists this unclassified non-coding RNA (646 nucleotides) under Hevea brasiliensis (rubber tree). Lineage: Eukaryota; Viridiplantae; Streptophyta; Magnoliopsida; Malpighiales; Euphorbiaceae. The record is from RNAcentral.